GCCGGGUGCAGUGGCCCACUCCUGUCCUCCCAGCAACUCGGGAGGCUGAGGCAGGAGGAUCGUGAGUUCAAAGCCAGCCUCAGCAACUUAGCGAGGCCCUGAGCAACUCAGCGAGACCCUGUCUCUA
This 127-nucleotide small RNA is filed under the name Marmota monax (woodchuck). Lineage: Eukaryota; Metazoa; Chordata; Mammalia; Rodentia; Sciuridae. The record is from RNAcentral.